GUGCUUGCUUCGGCAGCUCAUAUUCUAGAAUUGUAAAGAUACUGUGUGGGUUGGCAUGGCCCCUGCGCUUGGUUGCACACUCAUUUGGUGAUACUUUUCUUCUUUUC
This is a small nuclear RNA of Hyla sarda, 107 nucleotides long. Lineage: Eukaryota; Metazoa; Chordata; Amphibia; Anura; Hylidae. The record is from RefSeq and is a predicted model, not a curated record.